This 449-nucleotide ribosomal RNA is filed under the name uncultured bacterium. RNAcentral's name for it is "bacterial SSU rRNA". It matches the Rfam family "Bacterial small subunit ribosomal RNA", at positions 355 to 796 of the family's 1533-position model. The record is from RNAcentral.
UCGAGAAUCAUUCGCAAUGGGCGAAAGCCUGACGAUGCGACGCCGUGUGUGCGAUGAAGGCCUUCGGGUUGUAAAGCACUUUCGCCUGGGAACAAGGGAAGUUGGCAAAUAACCAGCAGACUUGAGGGUACCAGGUAAAGAAGCACCGGCUAACUACGUGCCAGCAGCUGCGGUAAUACGUAGGGUGCAAGCAUUAAUCGGAUUUAUUGGGCGUAAAGGGCGCGUAGGCGGGAAUGUAAGUCAGACGUGAAAUCCCGGGGCUCAACCCCGGAACAGCAUUUGAAACUGCAUUUCUAGAGGGUAGGCGGAGAAAACGGAAUUCCACAAGUAGCGGUGAAAUGCGUAGAUAUGUGGAAGAACACCGGUGGCGAAGGCGGUUUUCUAGCUUAUACCUGACGCUGAAGCGCGAAAGCAAGGGGAUCAAACAGGAUUAGAUACCCCGGUAGUCC